AAUUCGUAGAUGAAGAAGGAGAAAAAUUUCAUCCACCUCCUGGUAAGCAGAGAGAAUUAGGCUUCACCUUCUCGUUCCCAAUAAUGCAGACUUCAAUCAAUUCUGGAACUCUUAUCAGGUGGACGAAAGGUUUCUCCAUUGAUGACACGGUUGGCAAAGAUGUUGUUGCAGAACUGACAAAAGCAAUGCAAAAACGAGAAAUUGAUAUGAGGGUGUCAGCGCUUGUGAAUGAUACUGUUGGAACAUUGGCUGGUGGUAGAUUCACGGAUAAGGAUGUAUCCAUUGCUGUGAUAUUAGGUACUGGGACAAAUGCAGCAUAUGUGGAACGGGCUCAGGCAAUUCCCAAAUGGCACGGUCCUCUGCCUAACUCUGGAGAAAUGGUGAUCAAUAUGGAAUGGGGUAACUUUAGGUCCUCCCAUCUUCCCUUGACACAGUAUGAUAAUGCUAUGGAUACCGAUAGUUUAAAUCCCGGUGAACAGAUAUUUGAGAAGAUA
Molecule: unclassified non-coding RNA, 494 nt
Filed under: Hevea brasiliensis (rubber tree)
Lineage: Eukaryota; Viridiplantae; Streptophyta; Magnoliopsida; Malpighiales; Euphorbiaceae
Source: RNAcentral